Molecule: ribosomal RNA, 371 nt
Filed under: uncultured organism
Description: partial 16S ribosomal RNA
Rfam family: Bacterial small subunit ribosomal RNA
Source: RNAcentral
GUAGGUGGCAAGCGUUGUCCGGAAUUAUUGGGCGUAAAGCGCGCGCAGGCGGUUCUUUAAGUCUGAUGUGAAAGCCCACGGCUCAACCGUGGAGGGUCAUUGGAAACUGGAGAACUUGAGUACAGAAGAGGAAAGCGGAAUUCCACGUGUAGCGGUGAAAUGCGUAGAGAUGUGGAGGAACACCAGUGGCGAAGGCGGCUUUCUGGUCUGUAACUGACGCUGAGGCGCGAAAGCGUGGGGAGCAAACAGGAUUAGAUACCCUGGUAGUCCACGCCGUAAACGAUGAGUGCUAAGUGUUAGGGGGUUUCCGCCCCUUAGUGCUGCAGCUAACGCAUUAAGCACUCCGCCUGGGGAGUACGGCCGCAAGGCUG